Astyanax mexicanus (Mexican tetra) is the source of this 113-nucleotide transfer RNA. It matches the Rfam family "tRNA". From Rfam's summary of the family: Transfer RNA (tRNA) molecules are approximately 80 nucleotides in length. Their secondary structure includes four short double-helical elements and three loops (D, anti-codon, and T loops). The record is from Rfam. NCBI's taxonomy places the organism in Eukaryota, Metazoa, Chordata, Actinopteri, Characiformes, Acestrorhamphidae.
GUCACAAUGGCCGAGCGGUCUAAGGCGCCAGACUCAAGGUUGUGCACCUUCUCCAAAACAGAGAGAUUUCUGGUCUCCGAAUGGAGGCGUGGGUUCAAAUCCCACUUCUGACA